GACGAACGCUGGCGGCGUGCUUAACACAUGCAAGUCGAGCGGUAAGGCCCUUCGGGGUACGACGAGCGGCGAACGGGUGAGUAACACGUGGGUGACCUGCCUCUAGCUCCGGGAUAAGCCUGGGAAACUGGGUCUAAUACCGGAUAUGACUCCACGGCGCAUGUUGUGGGGUGGAAAGCCUUGUGCGGCUAGAGAUGGGCCCGCGGCCUAUCAGCUUGUUGGUGGGGUGAUGGCCUACCAAGGCGACGACGGGUAGCCGGCCUGAGAGGGCGACCGGCCACACUGGGACUGAGACACGGCCCAGACUCCUACGGGAGGCAGCAGUGGGGAAUCUUGCGCAAUGGGCGAAAGCCUGACGCAGCGACGCCGCGUGAGGGAUG
This 380-nucleotide ribosomal RNA is filed under the name uncultured bacterium. Its description in RNAcentral is "bacterial SSU rRNA". It matches the Rfam family "Bacterial small subunit ribosomal RNA", at positions 28 to 410 of the family's 1533-position model. The record is from RNAcentral.